GGAAAAUCAGUGACAGGUGUUGAGAUCCAGCAUUCUUUCCAACUUUAUUGGUUUUGUAAAAAUGCCAAAUGAAAGCACUGCUUUCAACAGUCUUUUUGUUAGUUUUUUGUUGUGAGAAUUAAUGUGCUAUGUGUAUGUGUGUCUUUGUUUGUGGUUGUGUUGAUUUCUGUGGCCAGAACCGCUGUGACCAGAACUUCGAGGUGGUGACUAAAUCAAAAUGUCAUUCCUGCUCCUUGACGUCUUUAGUACAAUGUCCUGAUGACUACACCAAGAGGCAGCCAGAGAAAAGUACAAGACGUGUUUAUGUGUGCUGAGUGUCCAGGAUCAGCAGCGACUCCCUGCAGCAAUAAUGGAGUCUGCUCUGAUGGUAUAGCAGGCAAUGGGACUAGCACAUGUGCAGUAAGAUAAUUUACUUCUUUUCUUCUGUCUGAAUCAAACACUAUUAUUGAGCAUCUGAUGUGACUUUUUGGACAUUUUUUUUUUGUGUAUGAUGGCUCUGGAAAAGGUGAGUUUGUGAACACUCUUUUACUCUUUUCUGAGCAGCUUGAAUGCACCCAUUGCUUUGAUUACAGUUUGCCAUCUUCACAAUCCUGCUGUUUUCCCCAGUUUGUUGAAGGGUAGGGUUGCAGUGUAAAAGAUGUGUGCAGACCAGACUCCUGCCAUAAAUAUGCCACCUGUGCCACAGUGGAACCGGGAACAGUCGAGUAGGUGACAAAUUCUCAAUUGUUUGGAUGUUUCAUUGUUACAUUCACAGAAAACAGCAGUUGUUUCUUGCAAAAUAAGGUGGAUACAUUCAAACAAAUACUAAGCAUGCUUUUGCUCCAGGUGAAAACCCUGCUGGCUAACGAGAUGAGAGCUCACUUGUAAGCUAACUUGCUAAGCUGCACAUGGUUGCAGGAGAGGUGAACUCUGAGUCGCUGAAGAAGGGAAUCCUCUACUACACUCUGACCGGCCUGGCUGUUGAAACAUUGACAGAUGGAGGUGAUUGAAUGCAGGUUGUGUGUGUGUGUGUGUGUAUUCCCCAGAUGUUUUCAAGGAUGUGCAAAUGCAGGAUACAAGAGCAGAAUCAUCACAUACUGUUUCACUCUUUUCUGCUCAGAUCAGAUUAUGUUUCAUUGUGUUUGUUAAGAUGACAGGGAAUACAUGAACUUUUCUGAAAUCUGUAAACUUCUAUUUUCAAGGCAGACCAGAUAAAAAUCCAUCUUCAAUGCAGUCGUAAGUAAGGAACUCUUGUGGAGACGGAUAUCUUUGCCUCAAAUUGAAUCAUCCAUUUGGUUGGAACUGCUUCCAUCAGCUUAUCAACCAAAUGGAUGAUUCCAAAAACAACAUUAAGUAAGUGUAGAUAAGCGAGAAAGAGGUUCGUGAAGAUAAAAGAUUUGUGUUACAUAAACAUCAUACACUUACUUAAUGUUGUUUUUGAUUGUUAUGAGGAUCAAUAAUGUCUUUGUAUCUUAUUUUUCUUACAGCAAAACCUGUUUAAACCUUUUUAGCAUAUUCUCUCAGGGAAUUGAAAAUUCUCUGCUUGAGGUUGAGUUUUAAACUCUAUUAAUCCCUAAAUGAAUAUACUUUAAGACACUUGACCUGUGCUAGAUAUUACCUUUUUUUGUUAUAAGCCAAAUAUUUGCUACGUUGUAAAAAAAAAUAUAUAAUAAUAAUAAUUCAUAAAAAUAGGUAAUGAUGUAUUGUAUUAAUAUGAAGGAAUUCAAAUUUUUAGCUGUAUUUAGAAUUUUUCACAUUGUUACAUUAUUUAAAUUUGUUUUUAAGGUUUAACUAAUUUAUAAUUAUUUAAUUGGCCAUUUUUUUCUGACCAUAUAAAACUUAUCCCAGUUCAUCCUUUUUGUUUAAAAUACUUAGAGGAGGUACAGUGCAAAAAUAACAACUGUUCGGUUUUUAAAAAUUAUU
Long non-coding RNA from Carassius auratus (goldfish), 1902 nucleotides. The record is from Ensembl. Lineage: Eukaryota; Metazoa; Chordata; Actinopteri; Cypriniformes; Cyprinidae.